RNAcentral lists this ribosomal RNA (253 nucleotides) under uncultured bacterium. RNAcentral describes it as "partial 16S ribosomal RNA". It matches the Rfam family "Bacterial small subunit ribosomal RNA", at positions 524 to 776 of the family's 1533-position model. The record is from RNAcentral.
CACGUAGGGCGCGAGCGUUGUCCGGAAUUAUUGGGCGUAAAGAGCUCGUAGGCGGCCUGUUGCGUCCGCUGUGAAAGCCCGGGGCUUAACCCCGGGUCUGCAGUGGAUACGGGCAGGCUAGAGGUAGGUAGGGGAGAAUGGAAUUCCGGGUGUAGUGGUGAAAUGCGUAGAUAUCCGGAGGAACACCAGUGGCGAAAGCGGCACUCUGGGCCGAUACUGACACUGAGGCACGAAAGCGUGGGGAGCAAACAGG